GAUGAACGCUGGCGGCGUGCCUAAUACAUGCAAGUCGAGCGAACGGACGAGAAGCUUGCUUCUCUGAUGUUAGCGGCGGACGGGUGAGUAACACGUGGAUAACCUACCUAUAAGACUAGGAUAACUUCGGGAAACCGGAGCUAAUACCGGAUGAUAUUUUGAACCGCAUGGUUCAAAAGUGAAAGACGGUCUUGCUGUCACUUAUAGAUGGAUCCGCGCUGCAUUAUCUAGUUGGUAAGGUAACGGCUUACCAAGGCAACGAUGCAUAGCCGACCUGAGAGGGUGAUCGGCCACACUGGAACUGAGACACGGUCCAGACUCCUACGGGAGGCAGCAGUAGGGAAUAUUCCGCAAUGGGCGAAAGCCUGACGGAGCAACGCCGCGUGAGUGAUGAAGGUCUUCGGAUCGUAAAACUCUGUUAUUAGGGAAGAACAUAUGUGUAAGUAACUGUGCACAUCUUGACGGUACCUAAUCAGAAAGCCACGGCUAACUACGUG
This 497-nucleotide ribosomal RNA is filed under the name uncultured bacterium. Its description in RNAcentral is "partial 16S ribosomal RNA". It matches the Rfam family "Bacterial small subunit ribosomal RNA", at positions 28 to 507 of the family's 1533-position model. The record is from RNAcentral.